AGAGUUUGAUCCUGGCUCAGGAUUAACGCUGGCGGUGUGUAUAAUACAUGCAAGUCGAGCGCCCAGGACCUUGUUUAUAAUUGCGAACAAUAUUCGUGAUUACCGAUAAGUUCCUGGGAGCGGCGGACGGGUGAGUAACACGUUGGUAACUACUCCAGAAUCAGGGAUAAGCUCUAGAAAUAGGGUCUAAUACCGGAUGG
Molecule: ribosomal RNA, 200 nt
Filed under: uncultured bacterium
Lineage: Bacteria
Description: partial 16S ribosomal RNA
Rfam family: Bacterial small subunit ribosomal RNA
Source: RNAcentral